GACGAAGGACCCAAGCGUUAUCCGGAUUCAUUGGGCUUAAAGGGUGCGUAGGCGGGUUGAUAAGUCCGUGGUGAAAGCCCAACGCUUAACGUUGGAACUGCCAUUGAUACUGUCGAUCUUGAAUGUGUUUGAUGUGGGCGGAAUAUGACAUGUAGCGGUGAAAUGCUUAGAUAUGUCAUAGAACACCGAUUGCGAAGGCAGCUCACAAAGCCACUAUUGACGCUGAGGCACGAAAGCGUGGGGAUCAAACAGG
Molecule: ribosomal RNA, 253 nt
Filed under: uncultured bacterium
Lineage: Bacteria
Description: partial 16S ribosomal RNA
Rfam family: Bacterial small subunit ribosomal RNA
Source: RNAcentral